UACGGGGGGGGCAAGCGUUGUUCGGAAUUACUGGGCGUAAAGGGCUCGUAGGUGGCCAACUAAGUCAGACGUGAAAUCCCUCGGCUUAACCGGGGAACUGCGUCUGAUACUGGAUGGCUUGAAUCCGGGAGAGGGAUGCGGAAUUCCAGGUGUAGCGGUGAAAUGCGUAGAUACCAGGAGGAACACCGGUGGCGAAGGCGGCUUCCUGGCCAAGUACUGACGCUGAGGCACGAAAGCGUGGGGAGCGAACGGG
RNAcentral lists this ribosomal RNA (253 nucleotides) under uncultured bacterium. RNAcentral describes it as "partial 16S ribosomal RNA". It matches the Rfam family "Bacterial small subunit ribosomal RNA", at positions 524 to 776 of the family's 1533-position model. The record is from RNAcentral.